RNAcentral lists this ribosomal RNA (221 nucleotides) under uncultured Desulfocapsa sp. Its description in RNAcentral is "partial 16S ribosomal RNA". It matches the Rfam family "Bacterial small subunit ribosomal RNA", at positions 1163 to 1382 of the family's 1533-position model. The record is from RNAcentral. Lineage: Bacteria; Pseudomonadati; Thermodesulfobacteriota; Desulfobulbia; Desulfobulbales; Desulfocapsaceae.
CCGGAGGAAGGUGGGGAUGACGUCAAGUCCUCAUGGCCUUUAUGACCAGGGCUACACACGUACUACAAUGGCAGGUACAAAGGGCAGCCACUUAGCGAUAAGGCGCGAAUCCCAUAAAACCUGUCUCAGUCCGGAUUGGAGUCUGCAACUCGACUCCAUGAAGUUGGAAUCGCUAGUAAUCGCAGAUCAGCACGCUCGCGGUCGAGUACGUUCCGGGCCUU